Molecule: ribosomal RNA, 205 nt
Filed under: Salmonella enterica subsp. enterica serovar Rissen
Lineage: Bacteria; Pseudomonadati; Pseudomonadota; Gammaproteobacteria; Enterobacterales; Enterobacteriaceae
Description: partial 16S ribosomal RNA
Rfam family: Bacterial small subunit ribosomal RNA
Source: RNAcentral
UACACAUGCAGUCGAACGGUAGCAGGAAGAAGCUUGCUGCUUUGCUGACGAGUGGCGGACGGGUGAGUAAUGUCUGGGAAACUGCCUGAUGGAGGGGGAUAACUACUGGAAACGGUGGCUAAUACCGCAUAACGUCGCAAGACCAAAGAGGGGGACCUUCGGGCCUCUUGCCAUCAAAUGUGCCCAGAUGGGAUUAGCUUGUUGG